RNAcentral lists this ribosomal RNA (1369 nucleotides) under metagenome. Its description in RNAcentral is "bacterial SSU rRNA". It matches the Rfam family "Bacterial small subunit ribosomal RNA", at positions 134 to 1498 of the family's 1533-position model. The record is from RNAcentral.
CAGUGGGGGAUAACGUAGCGAAAGUUACGCUAAUACCGCAUAUUCUGUGAGCAGGAAAGCAGGGGAUCGCAAGACCUUGCGCUGAUUGAGCGGCCGAUAUCAGAUUAGCUAGUUGGUGAGGUAAAGGCUCACCAAGGCGACGAUCUGUAGCGGGUCUGAGAGGAUGAUCCGCCACACUGGAACUGAGACACGGUCCAGACUCCUACGGGAGGCAGCAGUGGGGAAUUUUGGACAAUGGGGGCAACCCUGAUCCAGCCAUGCCGCGUGAGUGAAGAAGGCCUUCGGGUUGUAAAGCUCUUUCGGCCGGGAAGAAAUCGUAUGGGUUAAUACCCUGUGCGGAUGACGGUACCGGCAUAAGAAGCACCGGCUAACUACGUGCCAGCAGCCGCGGUAAUACGUAGGGUGCGAGCGUUAAUCGGAAUUACUGGGCGUAAAGCGUGCGCAGGCGGUUUUGUAAGACAGGCGUGAAAUCCCCGGGCUCAACCUGGGAACUGCGCUUGUGACUGCAAGGCUAGAGUAUGGCAGAGGGGGGUGGAAUUCCACGUGUAGCAGUGAAAUGCGUAGAGAUGUGGAGGAACACCAAUGGCGAAGGCAGCCCCCUGGGCCAAUACUGACGCUCAUGCACGAAAGCGUGGGUAGCAAACAGGAUUAGAUACCCUGGUAGUCCACGCCCUAAACGAUGUCAACUAGGUGUUGGGUGGGUAAAACCAUUUAGUACCGGAGCUAACGCGUGAAGUUGACCGCCUGGGGAGUACGGCCGCAAGGUUAAAACUCAAAGGAAUUGACGGGGACCCGCACAAGCGGGGAUGAUGUGGAUUAAUUCGAUGCAACGCGAAAAACCUUACCUACCCUUGACAUGUCCAGGAGCCUGAAGAGAUUUGGGUGUGCCCGAAAGGGAACUGGAACACAGGUGCUGCAUGGCUGUCGUCAGCUCGUGUCGUGAGAUGUUGGGUUAAGUCCCGCAACGAGCGCAACCCUUGUCGUUAAUUGCCAUCAUUUAGUUGGGCACUUUAACGAGACUGCCGGUGACAAACCGGAGGAAGGUGGGGAUGACGUCAAGUCCUCAUGGCCCUUAUGGGUAGGGCUUCACACGUCAUACAAUGGUCGGUACAAAGGGUUGCCAACCCGCGAGGGGGAGCCAAUCCCAGAAAGCCGAUCGUAGUCCGGAUCGCAGGCUGCAACUCGCCUGCGUGAAGUCGGAAUCGCUAGUAAUCGUGGAUCAGCAUGUCACGGUGAAUACGUUCCCGGGUCUUGUACACACCGCCCGUCACACCAUGGGAGCGGGUUCCGCCAGAAGUAGGUAGCCUAACCGCAAGGGGGGCGCUUACCACGGCGGGGUUCGUGACUGGGGUGAAGUCGUAACAAGGUA